This 274-nucleotide ribosomal RNA is filed under the name uncultured bacterium. RNAcentral's name for it is "partial 16S ribosomal RNA". It matches the Rfam family "Bacterial small subunit ribosomal RNA", at positions 523 to 796 of the family's 1533-position model. The record is from RNAcentral.
AUACGGAGGGUGCGAGCGUUACUCGGAGUCACUGGGCGUAAAGCGUCCGUAGGCGGUCGGGUAAGUCGGGUGUGAAAGCCCCGGGCUCAACCUGGGAAGUGCACCCGAUACUGCUCGACUCGAGUGCGGGAGAGGAUGGCGGAAUUCCCGGUGUAGCGGUGAAAUGCGUAGAGAUCGGGAGGAACACCAGUGGCGAAGGCGGCCAUCUGGCCCGCAACUGACGCUGAGGGGCGAAAGCGUGGGGAGCAAACAGGAUUAGAUACCCUUGUAGUCC